This 253-nucleotide ribosomal RNA is filed under the name uncultured bacterium. Its description in RNAcentral is "partial 16S ribosomal RNA". It matches the Rfam family "Bacterial small subunit ribosomal RNA", at positions 524 to 776 of the family's 1533-position model. The record is from RNAcentral.
UACGAAGGGGGCUAGCGUUGCUCGGAAUGACUGGGCGUAAAGGGCGCGUAGGCGGUUCGUACAGUCAGACGUGAAAUUCCCGGGCUCAACCUGGGGGCUGCGUUUGAUACGUGCGGGCUUGAGUUCGGAAGAGGGUCGUGGAAUUCCCAGUGUAGAGGUGAAAUUCGUAGAUAUCAGGAGGAACACCGGUGGUGUAAACGGCUUUCUGGACCGUAACUGACGCUGAGGCACGAAAGCGUGGGUAGCAAACAGG